UUCGUCGCUGCGCCCCGCCCGCGCGUGGGACCCCUCAGCCUCACCCUCUCUAGGGCGCAGCAAGUCCGCCGCGAGCCCCUCUGCUCAUCGCUCGUUACCCCCCAGGCCCUUGGGCUUGGGCUCAGGCCCAGUCGUUCCUCUGCAACAAAUCCAAUGGAACCGCGCCCUCCCUGAAUCCCACGUCUAGGAAGAGGAGGAGGAGCCCCUCUUGCUUGGGGGAAGGGGCUCCCGACUCGGAGCCCCGAGCCCCAUUCCUCUCCCGCGCCAGCUCUUCGGGACGCGGCCUCCCAGCGGACGCCCUGAGACCUUGCAAGUCCGCUAGGGAGGGGUCGGGACGAGCCGUCGCGGGUGGAUCCGCCCGGCCGAGCAACGACCCGCCCGGGCGCGAGGACCACGGGCUGUCGUGCGGGAGGCGUCGAGGGGCAGUAAACUCCGUUCGUGACCAAACGGAGACGAUUUGAAACUUGCUGCUCACACUGGAUCACCGUCUGGAAGGUGCGACGGGGAAAAAAUACACAUUACACUCCAGCAGGAUUGAACGCUUUCACCCUGUGCCCCGCGCCUGGCGUAACGCGUGGCCCCAGACCACACGCUGUAACCCGGGGUGAGAGGGAGUGAGGUGGGACUUCGUACCGGACCCGGAGCGCCGGCCUCGCCCGCGCGGGCAGCGUUCACUGUGGGGAGUGCUCACUCAGCCUAGGGCGGCCCGGGAGGACUGCCGGGAGGAGGGAGUCGGCCUUGAAUUGAGGCCUCAGCCUUGAAUAGGGUAGGGAGGCAAGCCUAGCCGAGAGUUUAGCACUAGCAAAAGCCUGGAGGCACCAGGGUCUGCCCUAAGAACUGCAGCGCCUCUGCUCUGGCUGGGAUUUAACGCAUUACGUCUCUGCUGUUUAUAGGUGUUGUGUUUGGUCUUACGACUUCGUAUUCUAUAGUUUUUAUUUAUUCCUGUUUUCUGAAUUUUCCCACAUUUGCUUUUAUCUUCUAUCGUGAUUUUCAAGGCAGAAAGUAUUUUUAAUUCUUCUCGCGGCUGCCUUUAGAUUUAUCAAAUGAAAAUAGUUUACAUUUCACACAUUAGUAAAGUCAGUGACAAAUAAUUCGUUUUUAUAUUCCCCCAUGAGAAAUUUUGUGUGCUUUUCUGCCUCCUACCUGCCGCCCUCACUACUUAUAUUUGUCCACUUAAUCAGGACGACAGACCUAACUUUUGUUUACACUUUUUUUUUAAGCCACAACAUUCUUUUUCAAUCCUUGUUUUUGGCUUUUGCCAACUCUGUUUAAUUGGUUUCAAUGUUACUGCCGGUUUUUUGUGCUCUAAUUUUUCUAUUCCUCAUUUGGACCCAUCUCUCACAUGACUGGUGAUUUCAGGGAGGACUCUGGAAUGUUGUAUUUCCUAAGCCUUUGCCUUAGGUGAGAAUGCCUUUAUAAUGAUUUCCUGUUUAUAGGAUUCUUGAGUCUCAAGCUUUCCCCCUCAAAACUCUUGUCUUUAUUUCAUUGUCUUCUGGCACUGAAAAUGCAAAGCUGGGUUUGUCUGUUUAAGGUCAGCAGUUUGCUUGGUGCUUGCAAGGGUUUUUCUUUACCCUCAAAAGUCAAACAUUUUGCCAGUAUAAAUCAAUAUGGGCCUUAUCUAUUAAUUUUCCAGAAACAAAAGAGGUCUUCUUUGUAGCUUAGAAAAGUUUUCUUCCUGUCCAUUCUGUGAAAAGAUUUGGGUUUUUUUCUUUCCUCUCCUCUAAAACUAUCACAUUGGAUCACCAAUGUCAAAUAAAUCUGUUUGUUUUCUCUGCACCCUGGGAGACUAUAUCAAGUUUUUCUUCACCAUUACGGAUUUAAUUUUCUUCAGAGCCAAGAGUACUGUUUAUUUUCUCCAAUAAGACAUUUGAUUCUGCUUGUUUUAUUUUUCUUUCAGCCAAUUUCCAUUCCACCUCUGUCUUGAUCUCAACUUAAUCUCUCUUUGUAGUCUCCAUUCCUAUUUCAUAGACUAAUGUGGUUUUGCAUCUUUAAAAGAACACCAGGAAAAUAAGAGAAUACUAUCUAUAUCUGACUCUGGUCCAAUGCAUAUGAAAACUUUUUUGUUUUUUUGAGACAGAGUCUCACUUAAAAUUUACACAAACUCUAGCAUAGUGUGUAACUAUUGAAUGAAUAACUAAUGCAAUCCCCUUCCUUUCUUUCAGAG
RNAcentral lists this long non-coding RNA (2164 nucleotides) under Homo sapiens (human). RNAcentral describes it as "HSALNT0263577". The record is from RNAcentral. Lineage: Eukaryota; Metazoa; Chordata; Mammalia; Primates; Hominidae.